This 403-nucleotide ribosomal RNA is filed under the name uncultured bacterium. Its description in RNAcentral is "bacterial SSU rRNA". It matches the Rfam family "Bacterial small subunit ribosomal RNA", at positions 355 to 776 of the family's 1533-position model. The record is from RNAcentral.
UGGGGAAUAUUGCGCAAUGGGGGAAACCCUGACGCAGCGACGCCGCGUGAGUGACGAAGUCUUUCGGGAUGUAAAGCUCUGUCAAGAGGGAAGAUUAUGACGGUACCUCUAAAGGAAGCUCCGGCUAACUACGUGCCAGCAGCCGCGGUAAUACGUAGGGAGCAAGCGUUAACCGGAUUUAUUGGGCAUAAAGCGCGCGUAGGCGGUUUUAUAAGUCAGUUGUGAAAUCCUAUGGCUCAACCAUAGUUAGCUUCUGAUACUGUAGAACUAGAGAUCAGGAGAGGAAAGCGGAACUCACGGUGUAGCGGUGAAAUGCGUAGAUAUCGUGAGGAACACCAGUUGCGAAGGCGGCUUUCUGGACUGAAUCUGACGCUGAGGUGCGAAAGCAUGGGUAGCGAACGGG